This 72-nucleotide transfer RNA is filed under the name Anaerolineae bacterium. Its description in RNAcentral is "tRNA-His". It matches the Rfam family "tRNA". Rfam says of the family: Transfer RNA (tRNA) molecules are approximately 80 nucleotides in length. Their secondary structure includes four short double-helical elements and three loops (D, anti-codon, and T loops). Further hydrogen bonds mediate the characteristic L-shaped molecular structure. tRNAs have two regions of fundamental functional importance: the anti-codon, which is responsible for specific mRNA codon recognition, and the 3' end, to which the tRNAs corresponding amino acid is attached (by aminoacyl-tRNA synthetases). tRNAs cope with the degeneracy of the genetic code in two manners: having more than one tRNA (with a specific anti-codon) for a particular amino acid; and 'wobble' base-pairing, i.e. permitting non-standard base-pairing at the 3rd anti-codon position. The record is from RNAcentral. Lineage: Bacteria; Bacillati; Chloroflexota; Anaerolineae. RNAcentral also lists the same sequence under 1 other name.
GUGGACGUGGCUCAAUGGCAGAGCGCGCGGUUGUGGCCCGCGUCGUCGUGGGUUCGAUUCCCACCGUUCACC